This 373-nucleotide ribosomal RNA is filed under the name uncultured organism. RNAcentral's name for it is "partial 16S ribosomal RNA". It matches the Rfam family "Bacterial small subunit ribosomal RNA", at positions 527 to 896 of the family's 1533-position model. The record is from RNAcentral.
GUAGGUGGCAAGCGUUGUCCGGAAUUAUUGGGCGUAAAGCGCGCGCAGGCGGUUCUUUAAGUCUGAUGUGAAAGCCCACGGGCUCAACCGUGGAGGGUCAUUGGAAACUGGAGAACUUGAGUACAGAAGAGGAAAGCGGAAUUCCACGUGUAGCGGUGAAAUGCGUAGAGAUGUGGAGGAACACCAGCGGCGAAGGCGGCUUUCUGGUCUGUAACUGACGCUGAGGCGCGAAAGCGUGGGGAGCAAACAGGAUUAGAUACCCUGGUAGUCCACGCCGUAAACGAUGAGUGCUAAGUGUUAGGGGGUUUCCGCCCCUUAGUGCUGCAGCUAACGCAUUAAGCACUCCGCCGUGGGGAGUACGGCCGCAAGGCUG